This is a non-coding RNA of Acanthosepion pharaonis, 107 nucleotides long. The record is from the annotation of a GenBank genome assembly. Lineage: Eukaryota; Metazoa; Mollusca; Cephalopoda; Sepiida; Sepiidae.
CCUCGUCACGUUGAAACAUCGGUUCCUGUACUAUCACUGAAGUUAAGCAUCGUUGAGCCUGAUCAGUGCUUAGAUGGGUGACUGCUUGGGAAUAUCAGGUGCCGUAA